Molecule: long non-coding RNA, 1844 nt
Filed under: Marmota monax (woodchuck)
Lineage: Eukaryota; Metazoa; Chordata; Mammalia; Rodentia; Sciuridae
Source: RNAcentral
CAAUAUCUCUUCUUUUUUUUUUUUAGCUUUUGGCGGACACAACAUCUUUGUAUGUGGUGCUGAUGAUCGAACCCGGGCCGCACGCAUGCCAGGGAGCGUGCUACCACUUGAGCCACAUCCCCAGCCCCAAAUGUUUAACUCUUGUUGUCUUUAGAUCCUAUGACAUUUGUGCCAUGGUGGGCUUCUAUUUUUGGAAGGCUAGAAAUCCCUUAUUGGUAAAUGUCCUUGGCAGUGUUUAAAUUUCACUCUGUUUAAUUUAAGGGGCACUUAACCACUGAGACACAUCCCCAGCCCUUUUUUUAAAAUUUUUUAUUUGGAGACAGAGUCUCACUAAGUUGCUUAGGACCUCUAAGUAUCUGAAACUGGAUUUGAGCUUAUGAUUCUUUGGCCUCAACCUCCCAUAUGUCACUAAGGAAACCAGAAUAAAGGAGAAGGACUGCAGCACAGGCAAGAACAACUUGUGCCCACUGCAGGAGGAAUUGUUUGCACUGUCCCAACCUCAAGAUUUAGAGAAGAAGUAACCCCCGCACAGGCUGAAAUCUGCAGACACCACAUAAACCUGUUUUCCAACCUAGGUACUAGCAUUUUCAGUUAGGUUGCCACUUUUAGUUAGUAAGGUUCAGCAUUAUGAGAUUAAAGAUGUCAUUGGUAAGAAAACAUUUUGGCUAUUGAGAAGGGGAAGGAAUAAUGUAAAAACUCCUAAACUUUUCAAGUUGUGGAUAACAGUAUUGUUUUUUUCUGUUUCUAGGAUGAACCAGUCAGGGAUUUCAGGUUAAAGUGUUAUUUGUGUAUCAAGAUAUUUUACUGUUUUUCUUUAUGGUAUAUAAUUUAAAAGUAUGUAAAACGGCCAGAUGCAGUGGUGCAUGCCUGUAUUCCCAGCUACUUGGGAGUCUGGUGCAGGAUGAUCUCAAGUUCUAGACCAUCCUGGGCAACUUUAGUGAGACCCUGUCUCAAAUCUAAAAAAUUUAAUUACUACGGGUGGGGUGUGUGUGUGUGUGUAACUCAGUGAUAGAAUACUUGCCUAGCAUGCAUAAGGAUCUGAAUUCAAAUCCCAGUAAUUAAUAAAAUAGUGUGUAAAAUGGCUUAGCUUAGUGUGUUUAGUUUUAGCUUUUAGAAAAUGUCAUUAUUUUUAUUAUGCUAGAAAGAUGAGAAGGCAGCCAGUGUUUUGUAUUAAAUUGUUUCUUCUAGCCUUACAGGUUCUAGUUUGUUUUAUCAUCUUCAAAUUCUAAGGUCAAAGAAUCUAUCCUCUUUCAUCUUCGAUUCCUACAUUCAAGCUUUAAGAGGCAUUUAUCAUGAUCAUAUGAUUUCAACAACCGCAUUACUAUCAAUUGCCACAAGAUUGAUCUCUAUGUAGAUGAGGCCCAAGUAGGCAUCCCUUGGAUCUGGUAAUCACGGCACACUCGUUAGAUGAUAUAAGGGUGUUUAAUCAUCCUGGUAAUCUGGAUAAAGUCCCAGUUUCUCAGGUCUACUGUUAGUAACAAUAACCAGUCACCAAUAACACAUUUUAGGAAAAUUUAGUAGUUUCCAGUCCCCUCUUAAGAACAUACAUGCAAGACUGGGGAAUCACAUGUUACAGGUUGCUCUGAUAUGAAGCAUUUGUGAGAUUUGAGGUGGAAUACAAUUGAAAAGUCAUGUUCAACUUCAGGGCUGACACAUUCCAAAUAAAAUAUAUUCUUGUUGCUUGGUCCUGAGAAAUGAAAUUGAUUUAGAUUAUUUUUAAUAACAGACAAUAAGGUCUUUUCUUUUGGACAUUUAGAAGAAAAGCCCCUUUAAAAACCUAUGUAAUUGCUCCGACUUUUAUGUGUUCUCUGAAUUCUUUUUGUUUUUAACCAACAGAUUCUUUU